GCCUCUGGCCCGUCAGCAUCUCUUGAAUACUACAAAGGAUAACAAACGAAGCUCUGUUUAUUCCUUCCACCAGCUCUGCUUCCCAGGAGCUCUCGCACCCUCUCGCUGUGGGGAGGCCCCUUGAAUUCUGCUACACUACAAAAUACUGCUUUCCUGUGAAAACAGACAGGACCUGGCUGCAUCGCAAAAGGCUGAGGAAAUACACUGUGUUUCUGCAUGACUACGGCCAUGGUAACAGCGUAUUACAGCAAAGCAGACUGGAGCGCAUCAGCACACACCCACGCCACAAGAAAUUCCCAUGAUUCUUAGGAAUUACCUGGUGCUGUGCUGACUUUUGUUUUUGUUGUUGUUGUUGCUGCUGCUGCUAUUGUUUUGAGAUAUGGCAUUAUCAAUGCUAUACAAGAAAGUAAAGUUUUGCUCUGACAUUGGCCCACUGGGCAAAAACUAUGUCCAUAAACAUUUAUCCUCUCCACAAGUGUUGUUGUUUUUCCAGUCUGGGCCAGAAACUUUGCAGACAUGUCACAACCCUGCAGAACUUGACAGGAUUCCUGCCAAAACCUUAUGUUCAGUGGCUUUCCAUAUCUUUGGAGUUGUAAAUUUUAUAGCAUUAUGGCAAUCAGCAAGGUAUCAUAGGUAAUUUAGCUUUGCAUGCUCCACAGCGAGUAUGAAGGGCUAACAAAGCCAGGCACUGGGAUGAAGAAGCAAAAUUUUAAUAAAUAAAUGAAUAAAAAACAAACAAAUAAAAACAAAAGUAAAGUCACAGAAGCAACACCAAAUCUCCAAAGGAACGGUUUCCCAAGUUAAUAAAAAUAUGUAAAGUAGCUUAUGAUGAGAAACUUAACGACAGUUUAGUGUGGAGAUGUGGAAACUAUUCAUCAGAGGGCAAGCGUCACACCCUUUAACCAUCUAUAGUGGACAGAGGUGUCACAUUACAGCUAUACCGUAGAAUUUAGGAAAUGGGACAAUCCUUCUUCCAACGAAGAAAAGUCCUCUUCGGGCAUUAAAAGAUUGCCUUUCUGGUAUAGUUGAUUUCUCUGAUAAAGACUAGGUCCAAAGACUAUGCUAAAGAAGACAGCAUUGUAGCAUCAUCUGUGCAUAAAGCACACUGUGGAUCCUGUCACUCAGAACUGAAAGGCACUAGAAAAAUCAAGGGCAAAUCUUAUCUUCUAAUAUAAUCUUUAAAACUGUUAUAUGUUAUAAUAUAAUCAUAUAACUUUGGCAGAUCAUUUAGCCUUUAUGAGCCAACAUUCCUUUCUCCUUGAGAGUAAAACAGCAUUUCCCAAAUACUUCUAUUGAAACUAAGGGAAGCAGUAGGUUUGCAGGCACAUUCUCAAGCAUAAGGUACAGUGUGAGCACAGAGCACAGUCAACCAUUUUAGUGCUGUGCUAAAGAGAGGGGGCACUUCAGAGUACCAUCACUCAGAUCUUUUCAUGACCCAAGAACUCUAAAAGAAUUAACU
This is a long non-coding RNA of Meriones unguiculatus (Mongolian gerbil), 1459 nucleotides long. RefSeq lists it as uncharacterized. The transcript is spliced from 3 exons. Lineage: Eukaryota; Metazoa; Chordata; Mammalia; Rodentia; Muridae. The record is from RefSeq and is a predicted model, not a curated record.